This 428-nucleotide ribosomal RNA is filed under the name uncultured archaeon. Its description in RNAcentral is "bacterial SSU rRNA". It matches the Rfam family "Archaeal small subunit ribosomal RNA", at positions 474 to 903 of the family's 1478-position model. The record is from RNAcentral.
UACCAGCUCUCCGAGUGGUAGGGAUGUUUAUUGGGCUUAAAGCGUCCGUAGCCGGCUUAGCAAGUCUCCUGUUAAAUUCAGCGACCUAAUCGUUGAGCCGCGGGAGAUACUACUAGGCUAGGAGGCGGGAGAGGUCAACGGUACUUCCGGGGUAGGGGUGAAAUCCUAUAAUCCCGGGAGGACCACCAGUGGCGAAGGCUGUUGACUAGAACGCGCUCGACGGUGAGGGACGAAAGCUGGGGGAGCGAACCGGAUUAGAUACCCGGGUAGUCCCAGCUGUAAACGAUGCGAGCUAGGUGUUGGGGUGGCUACGUGCCUCUUCAGUGCCGCAGGGAAGCCAUUAAGCUCGCCGCCUGGGGAGUACGGCCGCAAGGCUGAAACUUAAAGGAAUUGGCGGGGAGCACCACAAGGCGUGAAGCUUGCGGUUC